CCAAUCGGUGGGGAGACCGGGCGCGGGCCCGGGACCCCAGUCCACCCGCCGUGACUGGGCCGCCCCCAGCCCCCCCGAAGCCGCAGGGAGUGCCGCCCUGGCCCCGCGACUUCGUGAAGAGAGGCGCAAUGUUCGUGCAGGGCCUCCCUAGACCAGGGGAUCCCUUCCUUAAUCUCUCAUUUCCGUGUGGUGCCUUACGGUUUUCCAAGUCCUUCGCAGUUUACAGAAUGGACAGGCAGGACAGCGUUACUAUCGCCAGUCUUUUAGGGGCGCCGAGGAAAACACUGUGGAAUUGCAGCAUCUGCAAACGACGAAGAAGGACUUCAAAGAAUUAAUACCAUUAUGUGAGGAAAUGGACUACCAACAUAGUUCAAAGGAAGGACACACAUGUUGCAAGUUCAGGAGCACUCUGGAUCACCAACUGGAAGUUCAUGGAUCCCCAAGAUCACCUUCAGGUUCAAUGAUUUGUUAGAAGGACUCACAGAACUCAUUGACAGUUAUUACACUUACAGUUACAAUUUAUUGCAGCAAAAGGAUACAAAUUAAAAUCAGCCAAGAGAAAAAGUAUGUAGGAUAGGAUCUAUGAGAGUUCCAAUCAUGGAUCUUCCAGUUGUCCUUUCCCAGUGGAGUGGUGCAGCCAGUGCUAACAUAUUGCAGCAAUGAUGUGUGAUAAUACAUACAUGGUAUUGCUGACAAGGGAAGCUCACUUGAGUCUUAAUGUCCAAAGUUUUUACUGGGACUCAGUCAUGUAGGCCUGGUUCACUGCCCACAUGGCUGAUCUUAGUCUCCAGUCCCUCUAGAGGGGUACCCCAUGGCCCAAAGUACCCUCACCAUAAAUUACAUUUCUAAUAUAGACUAUCUAGCAUGGCCCAAGACCCCAAAGUAAACAUAUAUACUCUUAUCAGGCAGGCUAGUCCAAGGAUUUAGAUAUUACCUCCCAGCAGUUUAGGGCAAAGACCAAACUUUUCUUUGAGUAAGGUUAAUCUUCUACUGCAUGUGUGUCCUAAGCUUUUUUGCUUUUUAAAUUUCUUUUCCCAUUGCUAAUCUUAAUAGACACUUAUGUCUGACUGAACAAUAAUUUGUAAGCCAUGGAAAAUAGCUAGAGUAGUAUUAUAAGAUUCAAUCCAUAGAAGACAUUUUUAUGUCUAAUUAUUAAAGUAAACAUACAUGGAUUGACCUUAAACAUAUAUACUUGUUAAUUAUGAAAUAGCUUAUAUUGGGUUUUGGGGGUUUUUGCUUCCUAGCUGUAAUCUUUCCUAUCUCUGGUUCCUUACGACUCUUACACUGUCUCCAUAAUAUGUUUUCUUACACAUAUCUCCCCAAGCCAACAGAAUAUAAGAGUACCCACUGUGUUUAAGACAUUAUUUUAGGGUCUGGGUAUUCAGGAGUAACCAAGACAGACAAUAAAAACUUGUUUUCUUGAAAGAGCUUUUCUGUGAUCUGUUAAAAAUCCAACAAUGUUUUGAACAGAUUAAUGAUCCUGUUUUAUGCCUGUUUUAGAUAUUAGAAAAAUAAGUCUCAUGGUCCUUAAAUGACAUCACCAAAACCAUAUCUUAAGCUUUUGGCAAAACCAGGUCUAGGAGGUCUUCUGAUUUACAGCCCAGGGUUCUCUGCACUAAGUCAUUCAAAGUUGUGUUAAAUAAAUCUCCAAGUUGUCCCUAAGGUAAACAUUUGGAAUAAAAACGUUAAAACAAUAUAGAAUAGAGAGUUGGGUAUUGUUAUGCUGUUCCAGUACCAGAUCUAACACUUACUAGCUGUGUACACUUUGGGUACAUUCCUUAUUUUCCCUGGUUGUCAGUUAAUGGUACUAACCUAGAAGGUUGUUAUAAGUGUAGAGACAUAGCCCUUCAAAGUUGUUAGCCCAUAAUAAGUGCUCAAUAAGUGUUGGCUUUCAUUAUUAAUCAUGUUAUCCAGAAGGGUAUGGGUGAAGGUUCUAGCAGAUAGAAGGCAGAAAAGGCUGGGGAGUUCUCUGUAAGUAUUUUUUGAGAUAAUAGGAGGAGAGUUGAAAGUUGGUGGCUGCUCUCAGUUCUUUCUCCUUUUGCUCUAGAAUGUCUCCCACUUGUCCCCUUUAGAACCUAGAGGCUUCUCAGAAAUUUAAAUAAACCUAUAUAGUGCAUACUGUUAUGGGUUAAUUGGGUAACCCCCCCCCCAAUUCAUAUGUUGAAAUCCUAACCGCCAAUAACUCAGAAGGUGACCUUAUUUGAAGAUAGGAUGUUACCAAGUUAAAAUGAGGUCAUUAUGGUGGGCCUGACGCCAUUAUGACUGAUGUUCAUAUAAAAAGGAAAUCUGGGGACAGACUGCAUGCAGGGAGAAUGUCAUAUGAAGACAAUGGCAGAGAUUGGGGUGAUGCCUGGAGUAGAAGCACAAUAUGUGGGCAUCUGUUUCUUGAAUGAAUGGAUGGAUGAAUGAAUCAACCAGGUAGCUUUAGGGGGAAAAAAAAUACAAUAAAUGGAACAUUAUAGCUGUGGAAAGCCCUGGGCUUUGGAGUUUGAAAUGGGCAUGUUGGUCUCAUUCAUCAAGUUACUCACAGUUUGACAUCGGGCAAGACACACAGCUUCUGUGAGCCUCAAUUUCAUCAUCUUUGUUAGGAUCAAAGGCAUUAAAAUUUGAUGUACAUAGAAGAAAUUGGUUAAAAAAAAUUCCCCCCAACUCUGAAUUAUUUCACCAUUUUUUAAAGGACUGUAGCGCUC
This is a long non-coding RNA of Microcebus murinus (gray mouse lemur), 2690 nucleotides long. RefSeq lists it as uncharacterized. NCBI's taxonomy places the organism in Eukaryota, Metazoa, Chordata, Mammalia, Primates, Cheirogaleidae. The record is from RefSeq and is a predicted model, not a curated record.